CGGGUCCCUCUGAAUCCCUGUCGGUGCCCAUCCAUUCCUACCGUUCUUCUACAUCCGCUAGCACCGCCUGUCCAGAGUCGCCGCGUUGUCCAACCAAGCCAGAGCCCAUAAUGACUUGUGGCUGUGCAGGUAAGCCUUGGGUCUUGAAAAUAUCCGUCCGUCUCUUUAAGCCUGGGUGAAGCUUUCCGCAGGAUGUCAUGGCCUCUCCAGCAUCCCGGGUCAUCCACUGGGUUCUCCAGGGAGCCGAUCAACCGUCCUUCACCCAGAGUUGCAUUGCGUCCGAGGUCUUGAAAAUCUUGUCUUAACCGGUCUUUGAUUAUUAAUUCAACCUCGCAUCACUCGUGUUAUGCACUCAA
Molecule: long non-coding RNA, 356 nt
Filed under: Hordeum vulgare
Lineage: Eukaryota; Viridiplantae; Streptophyta; Magnoliopsida; Poales; Poaceae
Description: long non-coding RNA (HVUL_LNC005038)
Source: RNAcentral